Molecule: transfer RNA, 94 nt
Filed under: Pseudogymnoascus sp. VKM F-3808
Lineage: Eukaryota; Fungi; Ascomycota; Leotiomycetes; Thelebolales; Thelebolaceae
Rfam family: tRNA
About the family: Transfer RNA (tRNA) molecules are approximately 80 nucleotides in length. Their secondary structure includes four short double-helical elements and three loops (D, anti-codon, and T loops). Further hydrogen bonds mediate the characteristic L-shaped molecular structure. tRNAs have two regions of fundamental functional importance: the anti-codon, which is responsible for specific mRNA codon recognition, and the 3' end, to which the tRNAs corresponding amino acid is attached (by aminoacyl-tRNA synthetases). tRNAs cope with the degeneracy of the genetic code in two manners: having more than one tRNA (with a specific anti-codon) for a particular amino acid; and 'wobble' base-pairing, i.e. permitting non-standard base-pairing at the 3rd anti-codon position.
Source: Rfam by way of RNAcentral
GCUCUCGUAGCUCAGUUGGUAGAGCGCGGCACUAGUAUCCGAUAGCUAUAUCAUGCAUAUGCCGAGGUCUACGGUUCAAAUCCGUACGGGAGCA